UCCGGAAUGGUGUAGUGGCUAGCAUUUCUGCCUCUCAUUCAGCUAAUACUGAAGAGUACGCAGGAGACCGGGGUUCAAUUCCCCGUUUCGGAA
This is a transfer RNA of 93 nucleotides. It matches the Rfam family "tRNA". Rfam says of the family: Transfer RNA (tRNA) molecules are approximately 80 nucleotides in length.